This 218-nucleotide unclassified non-coding RNA is filed under the name Hevea brasiliensis (rubber tree). The record is from RNAcentral. Lineage: Eukaryota; Viridiplantae; Streptophyta; Magnoliopsida; Malpighiales; Euphorbiaceae.
GAAUCGUCGGAUUGGGAAACAAGCUGACAUGAAUGGAUAAACAAGUCGAUGGGAGGAAUGAAGGAGAACGAUCAACGCUGCGAUAGUGAUGGUUUGUGGAACAGAAAAGAAGAGAAAGAAAUAAGGUGGGUUUUGUGAUAAUGGUAAUUGCUUGAAGUUCAAAGUGAGAGAAGAACUUUUAUUAAGGGCCAUUUAAGCAAGAGUCAUUAAUGUUGGAG